RNAcentral lists this ribosomal RNA (449 nucleotides) under uncultured bacterium. RNAcentral describes it as "partial 16S ribosomal RNA". It matches the Rfam family "Bacterial small subunit ribosomal RNA", at positions 29 to 523 of the family's 1533-position model. The record is from RNAcentral.
AACGAACGCUGGCGGCAUGCCUAACACAUGCAAGUCGAACGAACCCUUCGGGGUUAGUGGCGCACGGAUGCGUAACGCGUGGGGAUCUGCCCUUUGCUUCGGAAUAACAGUUAGAAAUGACUGCUAAUACCGGAUGAUGUCGCAAGACCAAAGAUUUAUCGGCAAAGGAUGAACCCGCGUAGGAUUAGCUAGUUGGUGGGGUAAAGGCCUACCAAGGCGACGAUCCUUAGCUGGUCUGAGAGGAUGAUCAGCCACACUGGGACUGAGACACGGCCCAGACUCCUACGGGAGGCAGCAGUGGGGAAUAGUGGACAAUGGGCGAAAGCCUGAUCCAGCAAUGCCGCGUGAGUGAUGAAGGCCUUCGGGUUGUAAAGCUCUUUUACCAGGGAUGAUAAUGACAGUACCUGGAGAAUAAGCUCCGGCUAACUCCGUGCCAGCCGCCGCGGUAA